GAUGAACGCUGGCGGCGUGCCUAAUACAUGCAAGUCGAGCGAACAGACGAGGAGCUUGCUCCUCUGACGUUAGCGGCGGACGGGUGAGUAACACGUGGAUAACCUACCUAUAAGACUGGGAUAACUUCGAGAAACCGGAGCUAAUACCGGAUAAUAUAUUGAACCGCAUGGUUCAAUAGUGAAAGACGGUUUUGCUGUCACUUAUAGAUGGAUCCGCGCCGCAUUAGCUAGUUGGUAAGGUAACGGCUUACCAAGGCAACGAUGCGUAGCCGACCUGAGAGGGUGAUCGGCCACACUGGAACUGAGACACGGUCCAGACUCCUACGGGAGGCAGCAGUAGGGAAUCUUCCGCAAUGGGCGAAAGCCUGACGGAGCAACGUCGCGUGAGUGAUGAAGGUCUUCGGAUCGUAAAACUCUGUUAUUAGGGAAGAACAAAUGUGUAAGUAACUAUGCACGUCUUGACGGUACCUAAUCAGAAAGCCACGGCUAACUACGUG
This 497-nucleotide ribosomal RNA is filed under the name uncultured bacterium. Its description in RNAcentral is "partial 16S ribosomal RNA". It matches the Rfam family "Bacterial small subunit ribosomal RNA", at positions 28 to 507 of the family's 1533-position model. The record is from RNAcentral.